This 449-nucleotide ribosomal RNA is filed under the name Escherichia coli. RNAcentral's name for it is "bacterial SSU rRNA". It matches the Rfam family "Bacterial small subunit ribosomal RNA", at positions 1 to 446 of the family's 1533-position model. Lineage: Bacteria; Pseudomonadati; Pseudomonadota; Gammaproteobacteria; Enterobacterales; Enterobacteriaceae. The record is from RNAcentral.
AAAUUGAAGAGUUUGAUCAUGGCUCAGAUUGAACGCUGGCGGCAGGCCUAACACAUGCAAGUCGAACGGUAACAGGAAGCAGCUUGCUGCUUCGCUGACGAGUGGCGGACGGGUGAGUAAUGUCUGGGAAACUGCCUGAUGGAGGGGGAUAACUACUGGAAACGGUAGCUAAUACCGCAUAACGUCGCAAGACCAAAGAGGGGGACCUUCGGGCCUCUUGCCAUCGGAUGUGCCCAGAUGGGAUUAGCUAGUAGGUGGGGUAACGGCUCACCUAGGCGACGAUCCCUAGCUGGUCUGAGAGGAUGACCAGCCACACUGGAACUGAGACACGGUCCAGACUCCUACGGGAGGCAGCAGUGGGGAAUAUUGCACAAUGGGCGCAAGCCUGAUGCAGCCAUGCCGCGUGUAUGAAGAAGGCCUUCGGGUUGUAAAGUACUUUCAGCGGGGAG